CCUACGGGAGACAGCAGUGGGGAAUAUUGGGCAAUGGGCGCAAGCCUGACCCAGCAACGCCGCGUGAAGGAAGACGGCUUUCGGGUUGUAAACUUCUUUUCUCAGGGACGAAGCAAGUGACGGUACCUGAGGAAUAAGCCACGGCUAACUACGUGCCAGCAGCCGCGGUAAUACGUAGGUGGCAAGCGUUAUCCGGAUUUACUGGGUGUAAAGGGCGUGUAGGCGGGGCCGCAAGUCAGAUGUGAAAACCACGGGCUCAACCUGUGGACUGCAUUUGAAACUGUGUUUCGUGAGUACUGGAGAGGCAGGCGGAAUUCCUAGUGUAGCGGUGAAAUGCGUAGAUAUGACGAAGAACACCAGUGGCGAAGGCAGUCUGCUGGACAGCAACUGACGGUGAGGCGCGAAAGCGUGGGGAGCAAACAGGAUUAGAUACCCGAGUAGUC
This 443-nucleotide ribosomal RNA is filed under the name uncultured bacterium. RNAcentral describes it as "partial 16S ribosomal RNA". It matches the Rfam family "Bacterial small subunit ribosomal RNA", at positions 338 to 795 of the family's 1533-position model. The record is from RNAcentral.